Molecule: long non-coding RNA, 14188 nt
Filed under: Zea mays
Lineage: Eukaryota; Viridiplantae; Streptophyta; Magnoliopsida; Poales; Poaceae
Description: long non-coding RNA (ZMAY_LNC000947)
Source: RNAcentral
AAGUCUCACACAUAUGAUGAAUAGUGGUAUAUAAACGAAUGUCACAUCUUUACUAUAUAAUAGGAGUUCUGUACAAAAUAAAUAAAUAAUUACAUCAUAUGGAGAUAACGAUCCAGGAACCCAAAGUUGACUAGAAGGCGAUGGCCUAGACCUCUCACGAACUCGUCACAUCAUCCUCCAUGCGCCUCAUCCUGCGGUACCUGUUCUUGACCUGUGGGGGUGUGAGAUAGCAAGAGUAAGCUCACAUACGUUCAUCACUCAACAAGUUGUGGGGAAUAAUGUGCAUGAACUCACCAAAGGUGGGAGCUCAUGUGAAGUGUAAGGCUUACCAAAGAGGAUGGUUAAAGCUGAGCAUUGCUUUUAAAGUUGGUCAAAAUUUUAUUAGCAGUUGCUAAGUGUAAGUAUAUACCAACCCAAAUAAGUAAUAGAACCAAAGUGAUAAAAACACACGCAAUACAAUGCAUAUGACAAAUUGAAUUUAGUUCCAUAAAUUAAUCAUGUGAGUGUCUGAGCUGCUCAUGACCGUGAGCACGACUAAUAUACCAGUUUUACACUCUACAGAGGUUGCACAUCAUUACCCACAAGUCAUGUUACCCAUCUGCCAAGGGUCGCGACUUCCCAUACACCUCUACCAAGGAGGCGAGGCAGGGGAACACUACGAGGCCUUUACAAAGUUCCACUAGCUUCAGAAAAUCCGCUACAGUUUCUAGGAAGCUCCAAUGCAGGGACCCCUCGCCUGACCGCCAUCGCAACAAAAUCAACCCAAGGGCCUCACUACACUGACCACGCCCCUACUACCCUUGCCCCUUUCGGGUAAGGUAGUCCUCCACUAGCUUUCCUAAUUAGUCAGCCAAGGGUGUCCCAUACGACCCUUGUGGCAGCACUAUUUUCCCGGGUGGUUCUCCAUGUUCCAAUUAACAUAAUGAUCUUAUAAUGGAAAGUAAAUAACAAACUAAUAAUAAAAGUAUGAUCAUGAAUAAUGUGUAUCUCCAUACCCAAAACCACAUAAAGCAAUAGCAGGUACUACCCAAAAAUUCAGUGGUAAACAAGGUAUAAAGAUAGCCAAACUAGGUAACCUAUUGGGUCCCAUCAAAAUUAACCUAUGCAGAUUAUUAUGAUUAAUAAAAACAUGAUUGGGUAAAAAGAAGUGAUCAAGGGCACAACUAGCCUAGGACUUGAGAUUCCAGGUACCAACUUGCUCUUCAGGUGACUCGUGACCUCACUGCUAAAUGUAGCAAUACAACAAACACGGUAUACACAAAAUUAACAUCACUGUAUAACAUAAGUACAAACUGAAUAAUAAUGAUCUACGCGAAGCUACAAGAUCGUGGGAUCGAGAACCACUAAAUUCAGAAUUACGGUUAAAGAGUUAUGAAUUUCUAAAGAUUUAGGAGUGGAGUGUAACAGAAAUUAAGUACCAAAAUUUUAAUCUAGGUUUCAUAACAAAAUAAAGCUACAAGGUGGUAGGUAGUGUUAAUACGAACCUAAUGCAACUGGAACACGUUAAAUCGGAGAUAUCACAAAGAAGUUAUGAUUUUUCUAUCCUUCUAGGUAUUUUUUAUAUUUAGUUUACACUUAAAAACGUUAUUGUCGGCGUUUCGAGACCGGGGGGUCCCUGGACCAACGAGUGAAAUGUCGUCGCGUGCCCCAGCCCAGAUGGGUCGGCGCGAGACGGAGCGCAAAGGGGGGGGGAGGCAGCCGGAGAGAGAGAGGUGGAAAUCCCGCGGCCUUCAUGUUUGUCCCGCGCCCAAGGUCGGGUGCGCUUGCAGUAGGGGGUUACAAGCGUCCACGUGGGAGGGAGCGAGCGGCCUCACGCGAGCGCCUGUCCCGUUCUCUUCCCCGCGUGGCCAACCCUCUGAAAGAGGGCCCUGGUCCUUCCUUUUAUAGGCGUAAGGAGAGGAUCCAGGUGUACAAUGGGGGGUGUAGCAGAGUGCUAACGUGUCUAGCGGAGGAGAGCUAGCGCCCUAAGUACAUGCCAUCGUAGCAGCCGGAGAGGUUUUGGCACCUGGUUCGUGUGGUGUCGUGGCCGUCGGAGGAGCGCUGGAGCCUGGCGGAAGGACAGCUGUCGGAGCUGUCGAGUCCUUGCUGACGUCCUCUUGCUUCCGUAAGGGGGCUGAGAGCCGCCGUCGUCAUAGAGCGUGCGGGGCGCCAUCAUUGCUUGUCUGGCGGAGCGAGCCAGAUGGGACGCCGGUCUUGUUUUUCAUAGCCUGAGUCAGCUUGGGGUAGGGUAAUGAUGGCACCUCCUGUUGACGUGGUCGGUCUGUGCCCUAAGUUGGGCGAUGUGGAGGCUCCUCCGAGGUCGAGGUCGAGUCUAUCUUCCAAGGCCAAGGUCGAGUACGAGCCCCUGGGUCGGGCGAGGCGGAGACCGUCAGCUGAGGCCAGGGCUGAGUCCGAGCCCUGGGGUCGGGCGAAACGGAGUUCGUCGUCUUCCGGGGCUGAGCCCGAGUCCGGGCCCUGGGUCGGGCGGAGCGAAGUUUGUCGUCUUCCGGGGCUGAGCCCGAGUCCGAGCCCUGGGUCGGGCGGAGCGGAGUUCGCCUUCUUCCGGGGCUGAGCCCGAGUCCGAGCCCUAGGUCGGGCGGAGCGGAGUUCGCCGUCUUCCGGGGCUGAGCCCGAGUCCGAGCCCUGGGUCGGGCGGAGCGGCGUUCGCCGUCUUCCGGGGCUGAGCCCGAGUCCGAGCCCUAGGUCGAGCGAAGCGGAGUUUCCUAUGGUUCCUAAGGCCGGGCCCAGCUGCCUGUCAGCCUCACUCAGCCGAGUGGCACAGCAGUCGGAGCGGCGCAGGCGGCGCUGUCCUUCUGUCAGGCCGGUCAGUGGAGCGGUGAAGUGACUGCGGUCACUUCGGCUCUAUCGACUGAAGGGUGUGCGUCAGGAUAAAGGUGUCAGGCCACCUUUGCAUUAACUGCCCCUGCGAUUUGGUCGGUUGGCAUGGUGAUUUGGCCAGGGUUGCUUCUUGGUGAAGACUGGGCCUCGGGCGAACCGGAAGUAUGUUCGUCGCUGGAGGGGGGCCUCGGGCGAGACGUAGAUCCUCCAGGGUCGGCUGCCCUUGCUCGAGGCUGGGUUCGGGCGAGGCGUGAUCGAGUCCCUCGAAUGGACAGAUCCCUGACUUAGUCGCACCCAUCAGGCCUUUGCAGCUUUGUGCUGAUGGGGGUUACCAGCUGAGAAUUAGGAGUCUUGAGGGUACCCCUAAUUAUGGUCCCCGACAGUAGCCCCCGAGCCUCGAAGGGAGUGUUAACACUCGCUUGGAGGCUUUUGUCGCACUUUUUUGCAAGGGGACCAGCCUUUCUUUGUUGCGUUUUGUUCCGGUGGGUGCGCGCGAGCGCACCCGCCGGGUGUAGCCCCCAAGGCCUUGGAGGAGUGGUUUGACUCCUCUGAGGUCGUAAUGCCUCGCGCAAUGCUUCGGCUGGUCUGGUCGUUCCCUCAUGCGAGCUGGCCGUAGCCCGGGUGCACGGUCGGGUCCCAAGUUCUCGGGCUGGAAUGUUGACGCUGUCAACGGUUUGCGAGAGCAGCCCCCGAGCCUCUGCACAGGGCGAGAGGACGGUCAAGGACAGACUCGACUUUUUACAUACGCCCCUGCGUCGCCUUUCCGCAAGGAGGAGGGGGGAAAGCGCCAUGUUGCCCUCGGAGGGCGCCGAACAUGGUGUCUCCGGUGAGCUGCUGGCGGGUAAUCCGAGUGGACGCCCGUGCCCCAUUUGUUAGGGGUCGGCUAGAGGCCCGAAGGCGCGCUCAAAAGUACCUGCGGGUGAUCUGCCGGACCCGGUCCCCUUUCGACGGGGUCCGAGGGCUCGAUGCCUCCCUCUGAUGGGAUUCCGUUACAAGAUCGUUCCCGCUGGUCUCGGAAAUGUCCUAGGGUACCUCGGGAGCGUAGCCCGAGCCUUGGUUAUGUAUCGAACGUACCCAGGGUCAUCCCUCGCUCUGUGUCUGAGGCGGCUGUGAACCCUUCGAGGGCCAGCCUACGAACCCCUGAUCAGUAGUGGGCGCGGAGCCCGAGUAGCCUGAGGCGGCCAUUGAACCCUUCUGAGGGGCCGGCCUUCAAACCUCUGACCAGUAGUGGGUGUGGGGCCCACGCGCUCUGAGGCGGUUGUUAAACCCCUCCGAGGGGCCAGCCUUUGAACCUCUGAUCAGUAGGGAGGCUCGGAGCCUGUUUCCUUCACGGAGAAGGAUCCUUUUCGGGGUAUCCCCCUUUCCCGGUCCCUGUUGUAAGAGAGAGAAAGAGGAAAAGGAAAAGGAUACGAAAUCGAUUGUUGUGGCGUACCUCUUUGGACGCGGUCAUUAUGGCGAAGGCGAAGCGUCGCUUGCUUCUCCUGCCAGAGGCGCCGCCUGUUCCGCCGCAGAGUUAAUGCGACGGGGCGAGUAGUUCGCGGGGCGGCCGUUGCGCGUGCGCGAGCCAUUCGAGGAACGGCCGUUUCGCUUUGAGUUUUUGAAUCCCGCGGCAGGUUCGGGCGAAACAUUGAACGGGUCUCGCCUUGGUCUUUAUAUACUCGGGGGAGGGUCUGGCGACGGUUCUUUGCUCCGCUUCUCGCCUCCUUCUUAGGUUUUCGCAACCUGAGAGAUUUAGCCAGAGAAAAGGAAACCGCCCACCCUGUCCUUUCCGCCGCCACCCCCUUUGCUCGGUGAUGGCCGACCGGGUGACCAUCGUCUCGCCGCGCGACCCAUGGCCUUUCUCCACAGUCACGGUGGACGACCUGGCGGAUCUUGUUGCUGAGGGUUUACUUCGCCCUCUCUCUGAUGAGAGGCAGCCGGAGUGGAUUCCCCCCGCGAGCGGAGCUGCUCCGUCCCCGCCGCCGAGGUACGUCGUGAGCUUCGUCUCCUUCCACGAGCGGGGAUUCGGUGUGCCGGCAAGUCGCUUCGUGCGGGCGAUCCUGCACAACUAUGGGGUGGAGUUGCACAACCUCAGCCCCAACUCCAUCUCGCAAGCCGCCAUCUUCGUAGCGGUGUGCGAAGGAUACUUGGGGAUCGCCCCCCACUGGGACUUGUGGACUCAUCUCUUUUCCGCGGAGCUUUUUGCUUCGCCGACGGGGGAGAGAAGGGUCCGCGCGGCAGUGUGGGCUGGCGGCUGCAUCCUCCAGCUGAGGCAGUCGCGGGCGUCGCAGUAUAUUCCCGCCAUCCUUGCGUCCUCGAAUAAGGGGUGGCAGCGCCGGUGGUUCUACCUCCGGAAUGACGGCGAGAUGCUCCCGCCGCGCUGCUCGGUCCACAGUGUCCUCCGGGACCCGUGGCCGGGAAGGCUUGUGCCACCCUACCUCUAGGGUCACGCACCCGUGGUCGGGGCGCAUCAAGGGCUGAGAGAAGGCACUGGCGUCCGGUUUUCCCAACGUGACGGCCACCCGCCCGUGGAGAACGUCGAUGGGAAGAGGAUCCGACGACAUCCGCACACCCGGCGGGUGUAGCCCCCGAGGGAGGGUCGGGCUUUGCCGAGGCAAGGCUGACCCUUCCUUGAUGACCAAAUUUUGCGUGGGAACGAGGUAUACGAACAACUUGAAAACAUCUUAAGGGUAGAAGCGACGUAGCUGUUGGAUGUUCCAAGUGUUGGUGUAGACCUCGCCUUGACUGUCGGCCAGCUUGUUCGUUUCGGGCUUCAGAACUUUGGCAAUGAUGGACAGCCCUUCCCAGGGGUGCGUGUAGCCCCCGGGUGCCUUCUGCAAGGGGUCGACGAGGUCCAGACCCCACACAGCAAAAGGCUAGGUGAUGGGUAUCGUCUGCAGAGCCUGAGCGGGCAGGUGGGUCUGCCUUGCGUAGAACUGACACCCUUCGCAGGUGCGGACAAUUCUAGUGGCGUCGGCCACCGCCGUCGGCCAGUAGAAACCUUGUCGGAAGGCGUUUCCAACAAGGGCUCGAGGUGCUGCGUGAUGGCCGCAAGCCCCCGAGUUAUCUCUCGUAGGAGCUCCUGACCUUCGGCGAUGGGGAUGCAGCGCUGGAGGAUGCCUAAGGGGCUACGGUGGUAGAGCUCCUUCCCAUCUCCCAGCAAGACGAACGACUUGACGCGCCGCGCCAACCACCGAGCUUCGGCUCGGUCGAGGGGUAGCUCUCCUCGAUGGAGAUAUUGCAGGUACGGGGUCUGCUAGUUUCGAUUAGGCGUGACCCCGCUUCGCUCCUCCUCGACGCGCAGUGCCUCACCCUCGGGGGCCGAGGGUGCCUCGGGCCGAAGCGAGGGUGCCUCGGGCCAAGCCGAGGGUGCCGCGGACUGAGCCGAGGAUACCUCGGGCUGAGCCGAGGGUACCUCGGGCAGGGCCGAGGGUGCCUCGGGCUCGGGCGUGUCGUCGAUCUUGACGGAGGGUUGAUGCAGGUCUCGGGAGAAGACGUCCGGGGGAACCGUUGUUCACCCCGAGGCUAUUUUAGCCAGCUCGUCCACAGUCUCAUUGUAGUGUCGGGCGAUGUGGUUGAGCUCGAGCUCAUAGAACUUGUCUUCCAGGCGCCGAACCUCAUCGCAGUAGGCCUCCAUCUUCGGGUCGCGGCAGUGGGAGUUCUUCAUGACUUGGUCGAUGACGAGCUGCGAGUCACCGCGAGCGUCGAGGCGUCGGACCCCUAGCUCGAUGGUGAUCCGCAACCCGUUGACCAGAGCCUUGUACUAAGCCAUAUUGUUGGACGCCGGGAAAUGGAGGCGUAGCACGUAGCGUAGGUGCUUCCCGAGGGGCGAGAUGAAGAGUAGGCCUGCGCCGGCUCCUGUCUUCAUCAGCGACCCGUCGAAGAACAUGGUCCAGAGUUCCGGCUGGAUCGGAACUAUUGGGAGCUGGGUGUCGACCCAUUCAGCCACGAAGUCCGCCAAGACCUGGGACUUGAUGGCCUUCCGAGGGGCGAACGAGAUUGUUUCGCCCAUGAUUUCCACCGCCCACUUUGCGAUUCUACCCGAGGCCUCUCGGCACUGGAUGAUCUCCCCCAGGGGGAAGGAUGACACCACAGUUACCGGAUGAGACUCGAAGUAGUGUCGCAACUUCCGCCGCGUCAGGAUCACUGCAUAUAACAGCUUCUGAACUUGUGGGUAGCGGAUCUUGGUCUCGGACAGUACCUCGCUGAUGAAGUAGACUGGCCUCUGGACGGGCAAUGCAUGCCCCUCUUCUCGUCUCUCAACCACAAUCGCGGCGCUAACCACCAUGAGUGGUCGCGGCGACGUAGAUAAAGAGGGCUUCUCCGGCAGCGGGGGGCACCAAGAUGGGCGCGUUCGUGAGGAGCGCCUUCAGGUUCCCGAGGGCUUCCUCGGCCUCAGGGGUCCAAGUGAAGCACUCAACCUUCCUUAAGAGGCGGUACAGAGGCAGGCCUCUUUCGCCGAGGCACGAGAUGAAACGGCUCAGAGCCGCAAGGCACCCCAUGACUCUCUGUACGCCUUUCAAGUCCUUAAUGGGUCCCAUGCUGGUGAUGGCCGCGAUCUUCUCUGGGUUGGCUUCGAUGCCCCGCUCGGAUAUGAUGAACCCCAAGAGCAUGCCUCGGGGUACCCCGAAGACACACUUUUCGGGAUUGAGCUUCACGCCUAUCGCCUUGAGACUUCGAAAUGUCACUUCAAGGUCGGAAAGGAGGUUGGAGGCUUUCCUUGUCUUGACUACGAUGUCAUCGAUGUAGGCCUCGAUCGUCCGGCCAAUGUGUUCGCCGAACACAUGGUUCAUGCACCGCUGGUACGUUGCACCCGCAUUCCUCAAGCCGAACGGCAUGGUGACAUAGCAGUACAUGCCGAAGGGUGUGAUGAAAGAAGUCGCGAGCUGGUCGGACUCUUUCAUCCUGAUUUGGUGAUACCCUGAGUAGGCAUCGAGGAAAGACAGGGUUUCGCACCCAGCAGUGGAAUCCACAAUUUGGUCGAUGCGAGGCAGAGGGUAGGGAACCUUCGGACAUGCUUUGUUUAGACCAGUGUAGUCUACACACAUCCACAAUUUCCCUCCUUUCUUUCUCACAAGCUCAGGGUUGGCAAGCCAUUCGGGAUGGAAUACCUCUUUGAUGAACCCUGCCGCCAUUAGCUUGUGGAUCUCCUCGCCUAUGGCUCUGCGCUUUUCUUCGUCGAAUCGGCGCAGAGCCUGCUUCACGGGUCGGGCUCCAGCUCGGAUAUCCAGCGAGUGCUCGGCGACAUCCCUCGGUAUGCCGGGCAUGUCCGAGGGACUCCACGUGAAAACAUCGGCGUUUGCGCGGAGAAAGUCGACGAGCACUGCUUCCUAUUUGGGAUCGAGCUCGGAGCCGAUCCGGAUCUGCUUGGAGGCGUCGCUGCUGGGGUCGAGGGGGACAGACUUAACCGUCUCUGCUGGCUCGAAGUUGCUGGCGUGGCACUUCACGUCUGGCACCUCCUUAGAGAGGCUCUCCAGGUCGGCGAUGAGGGCCUCGGAUUCGGCGAGGGCCUCGGCGUACUCCACGCACUCCACGUCACAUUCGAACGCGUGUCGGUACGUGGGGCCGACGGUGAUUUCCCCGUUGAGGCCCAGCAUCUUGAGCUUGAGGUAGGUGUAGUUGGGGACGGCCAUGAACUUCACGUAGCAUGGCCUCCCCAAUACUGCAUGGUAGGUUCCUCGGAACCCGACCACCUCGAACAUGAGAGUCACCCUUCGGAAGUUGGAGGGUGUUCCGAAGCAGACGGGAAGGUCGAGUUGUCCGAGGGGCUGGACGCGCUUCCCGGGGAUGAUCCCGUGGAAAGGCGCAGUGCCUGCCCAGACCGAGGAUAGAUCAACACGCAGGAGCCCGAGGGUCUAGGUGUAGAUGAUGUUGAGGCUGCUGCCUCCGUCCAUGAGGACCUUGGUGAGCUUGACGUCGCCGAUGAUGGGGUCGACAACGUGCGGGUAUUUCCCCGGGCUCGGCACGUGGUCGGGGUGGUCGGCUUGGUCGAAGGUGAUGGGCUUGUCAGACCAGUCUAGGUAGACUGGCGCCGCCACCUUUACCGAACAGACCUCCCGACGCUCUUGCUUGUGGUGCCGAGCCGAGGCGUUCGCCUCUUGCCCACCGUAGAUCAUGAAGCAGUCGCGGACCUCAGGGAACUCUCCUGCCUGGGGAUCUUCCUUCUUGUCGUCGUCGCGAGCCCUGCCACCCUCCGUGGGUGGCCCGGCCCUGUGGAAGUGGCGCCGAAGCAUGGCGCACUCCUCAAGGGUGUGCUUGACGGGCCCCUGAUGAUAGGGGCACGGCUCCUUGAGCAUCUUGUCGAAGAGGUUGGCACCUCCGGGGGGUUUCUGAGGGUUCUUGUACUCGGCGGCGGCGACAAGGUCCGCGUCGGCGGCAGCGACAAGGUCCGCGUCGGCGGCGUCGCGUUUCGCUUGUGACUUCUUCUUGCCCUUCUUCUUGGCGCCGCGCUGAGUUGAUGCCUCGGGGGCAUCUUCCGGUGGGCGGCCAUGGGGCUGCUUGUCCUUCCGGAAGAUAGCCUCAACCGCCUCCACGCGAGAGGCGAACUUGGUAGCGAUGUCCAUCAGCUCGCUCGCCCUGGUGGGGGUCUUUUGACCUAGCUUGCUGACCAGGUCGCGGCAAGUGGUGCCGGCGAGGAACGCGCCGAUGACAUCCGAAUCGGUGAUGUUGGGCAGCUCGGUGCGCUGCUUCGAGAAUCGCUGGAUGUAGUCCCGGAGAGACUCUCCCAGCUGCUGUCGGCAGCUUCGGAGGUCCUAGGAGUUCCCAGGGUGCACGUACGUGCCCUGGAAAUUGCCGGCGAAGGCUUGGACCAGGUCGUCCCAGUUGGAGAUCUGCCCCGGAGGCAGGUGCUCCAAUCAGGCGCGAGCGGUGUCGGAGAGGAACAGGGGGAGGUUGCGGAUGAUGAGGUUGUCAUCGUCCGUUCCACCCAGUUGGCAGGCCAGCCGGUAGUCCGCGAGCCACAGUUCCGGUCUCGUCUCCCCCGAGUACUUUGUGAUAGUAGUCGGGGGUCGGAACCGGGUCGGGAACGGCGCCCGUCGUAUGGCGCGGCUGAAACCCUGCGGACCGGGUGGUUCGGACGAGGGACUCCGAUCCUCCCCGCUGUCGUAGCGUCCCCCACGCCUGGGGUGGUAGCCUCGUCGCACCCUCUCGUCGAGGUGGGCCCGACGGUCGCGGUGAUGGUGCUCAUUGUCGAGGCGACCCGGGGCCGCAGGCGCUAUGUUGCGCGUGCGCCCGGUGUGGACCGAGGCUUCCCGCAUGAAUCAGGAAGUCACAGCGCGAUGUUCCGAGGGGUACCCCUGCCUUCGGGAGGCGGAGCUUUCGGCCCGUCGGACCGUGGCGCCCUCCAGGAGAUUCUUGAGCUCUCCCUGGAUUCGCCGCCCCUCGGUGGUUGAUGGCUCCGGCAUCGCGCGGAGAAGCAUUGCUGCUGCAGCCAGGUUCUGGCCGACUCCACUGGAAGCGGGUGGCGGCCUCACCCUAACAUCGUCGGCGAUGCGGUGCUGGAAGCCCUGGGGUAGAUGGCGCACUUCCCCGGCUGGAGGUUGGCCCGCCCAUUCCUGCCCGACGUCCCGGCGGAUCGGCUCAAGUGUUCCUGCUCCCUCGUCGAGCCUGGCCUGCACCCCGUGGAUUUGCUCGAGCUGUGGGUCAUGACCCCCCGCCUGAACAGGGACCACAGCUAGCUCCCGUAGGAUGUCAACGCGAGGCACAGGCCUAGGGAGAUCACCGUUCUCCGGCAUACCAAGAUGGUUGCCUUCGGAGGGACCCCCUAGAUCGACGUGGAAACAUUCACGACUUGGGCCGCAGUCCUCGUCGCCAAGGCUGCGGCUACCGUCGGAACAGUCCGAAAGGCAGUAGUCGCAUGCGGCCAUGAAGUACCGCAUGGCACUGGGGUUAUGAAGUCCGGAGAAAUCCCAACAGAAGUCGGGCAUGUCGUCUUCCCCGGACACCGAGGGCCCGUAGGUCGAGGCGUCCGUCAGCCGGUCCCAGGGCGACCGCACACGAUGCCCCAGAGGGUUUGGACCCGCCUCUACGAGAGCGCUCGCCAAAGCGAAGUCGCUUGGCGGGUCGAGGCUGAAUCCAAAAGGUGUGAGAUGGGAAUCGGUGGGUACCUCUUGGUCGACGGGCGGUGACGAAGUCACGUCAGGGACGGAUUGCACCGUCGUCUCAGGUAUGAGGGUGACGCCCAGCAAGUCCUUCGCGAGCGUGCUGGCGUCGUCCGUUUGUUUGGGAUUGGCGUGUUGCAGGGAGACGACGCUCGUCUUCGUCUCAGACGCGAGGUCGAGGCCCGGCGUGCCCCCCGUUGGGGCGCCGGCGCCGUCGACUCGCUCGACAGCCGACGAGGUGCUACCUCCUGCUUGGCCUUGGUUGCCCCGCCUCCUCCUCCGUCGGUGGGGGAGAGGGCGGGGUGAGCUCGAAUGUUGUUCUUCCACUGCGCGGGGAAGACGUCGUCGAUUCCGCCCGCCAGCGGGCGGGCUGUCGGCCGCCAUUGUUGUUGUCGCACGGCGGGGUAAAGAGUAUCAUGUCGUAACUGUCGUCGAGGGACAUGAACUCAAAACUCCCGAAACGGAGCACUGUCCCGGGCUGGAAAGGUUGCUGAAGACUGCCCAUCUGGAGCUUGACGGGAAGUUGUUCGUCAACACGCAGCAGGCCCCUACCUGGCGCGCCAACUGUCGGCGUUUCGAGACCGGGGGGUCCCUGGACCGACGAGUGAAAUGUCGCCGCGUGCCCCAGCCCAGAUGGGUUGGCGCGAGACGGAGCGCGAAGGGGGGGGGGGAAGGUAGCCGGAGAGAGAGAGAGGUGGAAAUCCCGCGGCCUUCGUGUUUGUCCCGCGCCCAAGGUCGGGUGCGCUUGCAGUAGGGGGUUACAAGCGUCCACGCGAGAGGGAGCGAGCGGCCUCACGCGAGCGCCUGUCCCGUUCUCUUCCCCGCGCGGCCAACCCUCUGUAAGAGGGCCCUGGUCCUUACUUUUAUAGGCGUAAGGAGAGGAUCCAGGUGUACAAUGGGGGGUGUAGCAGAGCGCUAACAUGUCUAGAGGAGGAGAGCUAGCGCCCUAAGUACAUGCCAUCGUGGCAGCCGGAGAGGUUUUGGCACCCGGUUCGUGUGGUGUCGUGGCCGUCGGAGGAGCACUGGAGCCUGGCGGAAGGACAGCUGUCGGAGUUGUCGAGUCCUUGCUGACGUCCUCUUGCUUCCGUAAGGGGGCUGAGAGCCGCCGUCGUUAUAGAGCGUGCGGGGCACCAUCAUUGCUUGUCUGGCGGAGCGAGCCAGAUGGGACGCCGGUCAUGUUUCCCGUAGCCUGAGUCAGCUUGGGGUAGGGUAAUGACGGCGCCUCCUGUUGACGUGGUCGGUCCGUGCCCUAGGUUGGGCGAUGUGGAGGCUCCUCCGAGGUCGAGGUCGAGUCUGUCUUCCGAGGCCGAGGUCGAGUCCGAGCCCCUGGGUCGGGCGAGGCGGAGACCGUCAGCUGAGGCCAGGGCUGAGUCCGAGCCCUGGGGUCGGGCGAAACAGAGUCCGUCGUCUUCCGGGGAUGAGCCCGAGUCCGGGCCCUGGGUCGGGCGGAGCGGAGUUCGUCGUCUUCCGGGGCUGAGCCCGAGUCCGAGCCCUGGGUCGGGCAGAGCGGAGUUCGUCGUCUUCCGGGGCUGAGCCCGAGUCCGAGCCCUGGGUCGGGCGGAGAGGAGUUCGCCGUCUUCCGGGGCUGAGCCCGAGUCCGAGCCCUGGGUCGGGCGGAGCGGAGUUCGCCGUCUUUUGGGGCUGAGCCUGAGUCCAAGCCCUAGGUCGGGCGGAGCGGAGUUCGCCGUCUUCUGGGGCUGAGCCCGAGUCUGAGCCCUGGGUCGGGCGAAGCGGAGUUUCCUAUGGUGCCUGAGGCCAGGCCCGGCUGCCUGUCAGCCUCACUCUUCCGAGUGGCACAGCAGUCGGAGCGGCGCAGGCGGCGCUGUCCUUCUGUCAGGUCGGUUAGUGGAGCGGCGAAGUGACUGCGGUCACUUCGGCUCUGUCGACUGAAGGGUGCGCGUCAGGAUAAAGGUGUCAGGCCACCUUUGCAUUAAAUGCCCCUACGAUUUGGUCGGUUGGCGUGGCGAUUUGGCCAGGGUUGCUUCUUGGCGAAGACUGGGCCUCGGGCGAGCCGGAAGUAUGUUCGUCGCUGGAGGGGGGCCUCGGGCGAGACGUAGAUCCUCCGGGGUCAGCUGCCCUUGCCCGAGGCUGGGUUCGGGUGAGGCGUGAUCGAGUCCCUCGAAUGGACAGAUCCCUGACUUAGUCGCACCCAUCAGGCCUUUGCAGCUUUGUGCUGAUGGGGGUUACCAGAUGAGAAUUAGGAGUCUUGAGGGUACCCCUAAUUAUGGUCCCUGACAGUUACUUAGUAAUCUUUUCCUUAAUUUUCUAGAUUAUUGGACGGCGGCCAAAAUUUUUUGAAAGCUCAGGGGCCAAACCGCAAGAAUUAGGGUGGACGGCGGGUUAAUUUGUAAAUAUUAUAGGGUCCCUUUUGCAUAAUAUUCUGGGUGAAGGGGUAUGUGCCAAUCUGGACAGUUGGAUCAGAGUUGGACGGAUGAGAUUAAAUCAAGUCCCCUCUGAACCGGUAUCAAGUCAUGGUCGCCCGAUCCAAUGCGGACGACCCAGAUUAAAUCGAACCUCUAUCCGAACCAGUACGCAUCACCGAUUGUUGGAUCUGUAAACAAAGGCUCUAAUUUAAAUAAUCACUAUCUGAUCACCUGCACCCGACCAGAAUCCUAUGACUCAGAUGGAAUCCAUUCGAUCGGUAUGGAAGACUUAAUCCUGGCCAUCGAUUUUUUGAUCCAUGGCUGUCGCAUCUCCCUUCACCUCCAGCCACCCAAGCGGCGGCGCCGAACAAUCCCCCGGCGGCGCAGCCUGCCGGUGAGGCCAUGACUGGUGCCCCGAUGCUCUAAUCCGCAAACCAAUGGGCGCUACUCUACGAGAAGUACAAGGCGAAUGAUGUGGAGAUGAUUUUACCGGUAAUCGAGUUCUCUGGAGCCGGCCCACAACGACCCGCGACAUCACGGUGUUGAAAGUACUCCAACGAGCAAUUGGGGGUAUCGCUGGUGGAUCUCCUCGCUUGGAAAGGCCCGAACAAAGUGCGAAUAAUACUGUUGAUCCCCCCAUCGCCCACCGGGGAAUUGACGUCACAAAUCAACCGGUGACGCGAUUUGCUCUCUUCCUCUCUCUGCUUCAUGGUGGCGGCCUCCUCCUACGUUCUCAUUCACGGUCUGAGGUCGAGGAAAGCUCACGGAUGGAUUAGCGGAGGGGAAAGGAGGGGUCACGAUAUAUAGGCAUGAGGAAAGAUGAGCUCUGCCCAAUAUCGCGAUUGAUUUGCCGCGGCAAGCGCGGAGUUCGCGCGGCGGAAGCCAGGAUUUGUUGCGAUCCUGGAAUAUUGUUCCGACAAAUGGGACCCA